Molecule: unclassified non-coding RNA, 345 nt
Filed under: soil metagenome
Description: partial contains 5.8S ribosomal RNA, internal transcribed spacer 2, and large subunit ribosomal RNA
Rfam family: 5.8S ribosomal RNA (bases 1-121)
Source: RNAcentral
GAUGAAGAACGCAGCGAAAUGCGAUAAGUAAUGCGAAUUGCAGAAUUUCCGUGAGUCAUCGAAUCUUUGAACGCACAUUGCGCCCACUGGUAUUCCGGUGGGCAUGCCUGUUCGAGCGUCAUUAUCCUCCCUCAAACCCCGGGUUUGGUGUUGGACCCAAGUUGUGUGAACAACUGGUCUCAAAGACAAUGACGGCGUCCGUGGGACCCUCGGUGCAACGAGCUUUUAGGAGCACGCAUCGAGUUGCAAGGGCCUUCCGGGCCGGUCUCCUUUACCAUUUUACAAGGUUGACCUCGGAUCAGGUAGGAAUACCCGCUGAACUUAAGCAUAUCAAUAAGCGGAGGA